This 1114-nucleotide ribosomal RNA is filed under the name Amblyomma albolimbatum. RNAcentral describes it as "SSU rRNA". It matches the Rfam family "Eukaryotic small subunit ribosomal RNA", at positions 40 to 1150 of the family's 1831-position model. Lineage: Eukaryota; Metazoa; Arthropoda; Arachnida; Ixodida; Ixodidae. The record is from RNAcentral.
AAGAUUAAGCCAUGCAUGUCUAAGUACAUGCCGAAAUAAGGCGAAACCGCGAAUGGCUCAUUAAAUCAGUUAUGGUUCCUUAGAUCGUUUCUUUCUACUUGGAUAACUGUGGCAAUUCUAGAGCUAAUACAUGCAGGAAACCUGAAGGCCUUUGGCUAACGGGUGCUUUUAUUAGACCAAGACCCAUCGGGUUCUGCCCGUACUCUGUGGUGACUCUGGAUAACUUUGUGCCGAUCGCACGGCCACGAGCCGGCGACGUUUCUUUCAAGUGUCUGCCUUAUCAACUUUCGAUGGUAGGUUACUUGCCUACCAUGGUUGUUACGGGUAACGGAGAAUCAGGGUUCGAUUCCGGAGAGGGAGCCUGAGAAACGGCUACCACAUCCAAGGAAGGCAGCAGGCGCGCAAAUUACCCACUCCCGGCACGGGGAGGUAGUGACGAAAAAUAACAAUACGGGACUCUUUUGAGGCCCCGUAAUUGAAAUGAGUACACUCUAAAUCCUUUAACGAGGAUCAAUUGGAGGGCAAGUCUGGUGCCAGCAGCCGCGGUAAUUCCAGCUCCAAUAGCGUAUACUAAAGCUGCUGCGGUUAAAAAGCUCGUAGUUGGAUCUCAGUUCCAGACGAGUAGUGCAUCUACCCGAUGCGACGGCUCGGACUGAACAUCAUGCCGGUCUCUUCUUGGUGCCCUUCAUUGGUGCGUCUCGAGGUGGCCGGUGCUUUUACUUUGAAAAAAUUAGAGUGCUCAACGCAGGCGAGUCGCCUGAAUAAACUUGCAUGGAAUAAUGGAACAAGAUCUCGUUUCUGUUCCGUUGGUUUUUGGAAUACGAGAUAAUGAUUAAGAGGGACAGACGGGGGCAUUCGUAUUGCGGCGCUAGAGGUGAAAUUCUUGGACCGUCGCAAGACGAACUACUGCGAAAGCAUUUGCCAAGAAUGUUUUCUUUGAUCAAGAACGAAAGUCAGAGGUUCGAAGGCGAUCAGAUACCGCCCUAGUUCUGACCAUAAACGAUGCCAACCAGCGAUCCGCCUGAGUUACUCAAAUGACUCGGCGGGCAGCUUCCGGGAAACCAAAGUAUUUGGGUUCCGGGGGAAGUAUGGUUGCAAAGCUGAAACUUAAAGA